Molecule: RNase P RNA, 392 nt
Filed under: Fidelibacterota bacterium
Lineage: Bacteria; Pseudomonadati; Fidelibacterota
Description: RNase P RNA component class A
Rfam family: Bacterial RNase P class A
About the family: Ribonuclease P (RNase P) is a ubiquitous endoribonuclease, found in archaea, bacteria and eukarya as well as chloroplasts and mitochondria. Its best characterised activity is the generation of mature 5'-ends of tRNAs by cleaving the 5'-leader elements of precursor-tRNAs.
Source: RNAcentral
UGGGUGGAUUGGGCAGUCACCUGGCAUCAGCUGGGAGGAAAGUCCGGACUCCGCAGGACAGGUUGCCCAUGUUAGGAGCAUGGGACUCUACUUUUGGGUAGGGAUGGAAAGUGCCACAGAAAGGAUACCGCCUUUCGAAGCUCGCAGAGCGUCGAGGGGUAAGGGUGAAAACGUGAGGUAAGAGCUCACGCCGGUGUCAGGCAACUGAUGCUGGGGGUAAACCCCAAUUGGAGCAAUUUCAAGCAGAAGAGCAUGGUAGUCCGCCAUUCAUCUAUGAUGAAACUCUUCGGGUAGGAAGCUAGUAUCUCCAUGCAAAUGGAGGUCCAGAUCAAUGGCUGCCUCAUCCUCUUUUGAGGGUAAGACAAAAUCCGGCUUAUAGAUCCACCCAUUUA